GAUAAAGUGCUAAAACUUAUAAAAAGGACUUCGAAUCCUGUUAAAUAAAGUUUUGUUU
This 58-nucleotide transfer RNA is filed under the name Romanomermis nielseni. RNAcentral's name for it is "tRNA-Arg". The record is from RNAcentral. Lineage: Eukaryota; Metazoa; Nematoda; Enoplea; Mermithida; Mermithidae.